RNAcentral lists this ribosomal RNA (114 nucleotides) under Mesocricetus auratus (golden hamster). The record is from RNAcentral. Lineage: Eukaryota; Metazoa; Chordata; Mammalia; Rodentia; Cricetidae.
AUCUUCGGCCAUACCACCCUGAAGGCACCUGGGGAAGCUAAGCAGGGUCGGGCGUGGCUAGGUGCCUGGAUGGGAGAAAUCAUCACAAGAAAAAACCCCGCCUCUUUGUGGGUG